RNAcentral lists this ribosomal RNA (255 nucleotides) under uncultured bacterium. RNAcentral describes it as "partial 16S ribosomal RNA". It matches the Rfam family "Bacterial small subunit ribosomal RNA", at positions 524 to 776 of the family's 1533-position model. The record is from RNAcentral.
UACGUAGGCAGCAAGCGUUGUUCGGAAUUACUGGGCGUAAAGAGUGUGUAGGCGGUGCUCCAAGUCUGGUGUGAAAUCUCCCGGGCUUAACUGGGGAGGGUGCAUUAGAAACUGGAAUGCUAGAGGAUGGGAGAGGUAAGCGGAAUUCCUGGUGUAGCGGUGAAAUGCGUAGAUAUCAGGAGGAACACCUGUGGUGUAGACAGCUUACUGGACCAUUUCUGACGCUGAGACACGAAAGCGUGGGUAGCAAACAGG